Heterocephalus glaber (naked mole-rat) is the source of this 1127-nucleotide long non-coding RNA. NCBI's taxonomy places the organism in Eukaryota, Metazoa, Chordata, Mammalia, Rodentia, Bathyergidae. The record is from Ensembl.
UGCCUCUCUGUCCUUCCUCCUCUACUUCCUGGCUGGGGCACAGGAAAGGAAUCGCACAGAGACGGUUGUCUGCUAGCAUGGCCAGCUCCGAGUUUCAGUUACAUUGAUCACUGGCUCUUGUGUAGUUUUCCGAUGGCACAAAGGGGAUUCUAGGGCAGCUUUCCCUUCAGUGCCCUUUCGCUAGGGCUCACCGUUCUGUCCAGCAUGUGUGCAGAAAGAGAAGAUCCCUGGGGUGACGUUUUGAAGACUAUCACAGGGAGCCAUUCUGUCUGCAUCCUGUCUCGGUCACUGCUUGUCUAAGUACCAGAGAGCUGCUCCCCAGUGUGUCCAGGCCUCCAUCACCACUGGGACCCCAACAUCUGGUUCCCAGGAUUCUGAGGAAUUUGGGAAAAGAGUUGAGCGAUAAGAUGAGCUCAAGGAGACAAAAUCGGAUGAAAAUGGGGAGCUCUGGCAGCAAAUCCACAUAAGGACGCUUCUUAGGGAGACAAGUGGGACCUCGGCUGCACACGUCCCUCUGGGCUUGGAAGGUGGCCUCGAUUUGGAGCUCAGACCUGGUGGGAAACCUCCAAUGCUGUUGCCUUCCAGGAACUGCCAGCAGCCUGCAAGGGGCCUUUGGCCUGGCCUGGGCACCACCCUGCCUCAGCCACUGCGACUUUAGCUUGUCUUCAUUCUUUGUAUCUCAGAAUCCUCAGUGGCAAAAUAGGGUUAGUAAUAAAAGACACCUAUAGAAGCCCCUAGAACAAAGUGUGACUCAUAGUCAGAGCUUAAAAAAUGUUUAGCUACUAUCACUGUGUAGGAGGGAAUCAGGAGGAAGGGAAAGGGACUGAACCUGGGGACUUGUGCUUGCUAGUCAAGUGGCCCUACCACGGAGCCACACGCCCAGGCCACUAGAGCAGAGCUUCUUACACGUGAAUGGCACCGAAAUCACCUGGGGACACCUGGGGAUCUCUGUGGAGAGCAGACUGACGUGUGCCAAUAACCACAUGUGCUCAGCGGCUGCCUUACUGGACAGCACGCUCUGCACAGGACGUCAAGCUCACAGUUCCGAUCCUUGGCAGAGUCGUCAAAACCAAAACAGUGUGUGCAACCUGAACAAGACUAUCUACAUACCUGGAAAAUGUGCUCAA